Aedes aegypti (yellow fever mosquito) is the source of this 631-nucleotide long non-coding RNA. RefSeq lists it as uncharacterized. The transcript is spliced from 2 exons. Lineage: Eukaryota; Metazoa; Arthropoda; Insecta; Diptera; Culicidae. The record is from RefSeq and is a predicted model, not a curated record.
UUCCAAUCGACCGUGAAGAGUCUCCGAUGCCACAGUUAACAUCCAUCCCCCGGGAAAUUCUGACGAGGCGCUAAAUUGGCGUUGAGAAAGUGACAAAGCCUUUGAGGUGGCAUAGCAGAUUAGCACUUCUGAUUAGAACCAGCUGAUAGCGAUUCUUUGGAAGAGAAGCGUGCCGAAUGAUCCAAGCAGGAAGUGAACGAAACAUUUAGUGUGGAAAUUGUGUCAGGUUAUGAGUGUCUGGGAAAGUGUGUGCAAACAAGUGCCGCUGGGUAACAUUCCGGUUCGUGAAGAUACACGCUUGAACGAAGUUACACAAAAACAGUUAACUUGUGGAAAGCAGCAGAAAGACAUCAUUGAUCGGCAGCGGAAAUCGAGAUUUCAUUUCUUGCUCAGGACUGCUGUGCGUUUCAGUGAGUGGAUGUGGUGGUGAGACGAGAACAGUGUUAUGAAAUUAGACAGACAGGAGACGGAAGCAAUAAUGCCAACACAGAUUCGAAAAAUGGGAAGCUUAGCUGUCGUAAUCUUGCUGAUUACCGUCGGAUUAGCGGGAAAAGUUUUCGCAUUUAGCCAUGGAAAGGGAAAGGCGAGUUAUCCCCUGCACAACGAUAUUUUGAUGCUGUUGCACCCGAAG